RNAcentral lists this ribosomal RNA (618 nucleotides) under uncultured bacterium. RNAcentral's name for it is "bacterial SSU rRNA". It matches the Rfam family "Bacterial small subunit ribosomal RNA", at positions 147 to 760 of the family's 1533-position model. The record is from RNAcentral.
CUACGGGAAACUGUAGCUAAUACCGCGUAGAAUCGGAAGAUGAAAGUGUGGGACCUUCGGGCCACAUGCCAUAGGAUGAGCCCAAGUGGGAUUAGGUAGUUGGUGAGGUAAAGGCUCACCAAGCCGACGAUCUCUAGCUGGUCUGAGAGGAUGACCAGCCACACUGGGACUGAGACACGGCCCAGACUCCUACGGGAGGCAGCAGUGGGGAAUAUUGCGCAAUGGGGGCGACCCUGACGCAGCCAUGCCGCGUGAAUGAAGAAGGCCUUCGGGUUGUAAAGUUCUUUCGGUAUUUAGGAAGGCAUUUAGUUUAAUAGACUAGGUGAUUGACGUUAACUACAGAAGAAGCACCGGCUAACUCCGUGCCAGCAGCCGCGGUAAUACGGAGGGUGCGAGCGUUAAUCGGAAUAACUGGGCGUAAAGGGCACGCAGGCGGUGACUUAAGUGAGGUGUGAAAGCCCCGGGCUUAACCUGGGAAUUGCAUUUCAUACUGGGUCGCUAGAGUACUUUAGGGAGGGGUAGAAUUCCACGUGUAGCGGUGAAAUGCGUAGAGAUGUGGAGGAAUACCGAAGGCGAAGGCAGCCCCUUGGGAAUGUACUGACGCUCAUGUGCGAAAGC